CGGUUGAUCCUGCCGGAGGACAUUGCUAUUGGGAUUCGAUUUAGCCAUGCUAGUCGAGCGAGUUCAGACUCGCGGCGAAUAGCUCAGUAACACGUGGCCAAGUUACCCUUCAGUCAGCGAUACCCUCGGGAAACUGAGGUUAACAGCUGAUACAAAACGUUUGCUGGAAUGCGGCGUUUCAGAAAGAUCACGCUGAAGGAUGCGGUUGCGGCCGAUUAGGUAGACGGUGGGGUAACGGCCCACCGUGCCAGUAAUCGGUACGGGUGAUGAGAGUCAGAGCCCGGAGACGGAAUCUGAGACAAGAUUCCGGGCCCUACGGGGCGCAGCAGGCGCGAAACCUUUACACUGCACGGAAGUGCGAUAGGGGAAUCCCAAGUGCGAGGGCAUAUUAGCCCUCGCUUUUCUCGACUCUAAGGUGGUCGACGAAUAAGAGCUGGGCAAGACCGGUGCCAGCCGCCGCGGU
Molecule: ribosomal RNA, 463 nt
Filed under: uncultured archaeon
Lineage: Archaea
Description: bacterial SSU rRNA
Rfam family: Archaeal small subunit ribosomal RNA
Source: RNAcentral